This is a long non-coding RNA of Callithrix jacchus (white-tufted-ear marmoset), 1900 nucleotides long. RefSeq lists it as uncharacterized. The record is from RefSeq and is a predicted model, not a curated record. NCBI's taxonomy places the organism in Eukaryota, Metazoa, Chordata, Mammalia, Primates, Cebidae.
GUUUUUGAAUGUCGGUAGUGACUUUCAGAAGUGAAAUAUCUGCAAUAGGGACUAUUGCAAAUAAAGAUAAAUUUAAUCUAAUAUAAAUAUAAAUCAGGAGACUGAUGUGGGGGAAUUGCUUGAACCCGGGAGGCGGAGGUUUCAGUGAGCUGAGAUUGCAUCACUGCACUCCAGGCUGGUGACAGGGCAAGACUCUUUCUCAAGAAAAAAAAAAAUUAAUUUAACAGGCUUGGUGAAUUCUAUAACUUUCCUACACCUUUGCAGGGGUGUCCCAUCUUUUGGCUUCCCUGGGCCAUAUUAGAAUAAGAAGAAUUGUUUUGGGCCACACACAAAAUAUAUUAACAAUAAAGACAGCUGUGGAGCUUUAAAAAAAUCGCAAAAAAAAAACCUCAUGUUUUAAGAAAGUUUAGGAAUUUGUGUUAGGCCAAAGCCGUCCUGGGCGGUGGGCUGGACCAGCACGACUUUAGGGUGUUCCUAACGCAGGAUGCAUAAAGUCAUGAAGCCACUAGAGGGAGACAAAAUUAGUUUAAAUGCAAAGUGCUCCGUUCUGAAAGCCCGUGCAACAGGAUUGUACCAGCAAAGGAAGCUGAUACAGAACAAAGAAGGAACACGGCAAGGCGUGGGUGAGAACACCAGCCAGCAAAGGGAGAGCUGUUGAUGUUUCUAAGUCGCGUCUCCAGGAGAGCUCUUUGGAGAAAUGAGGCAGCUGAUGAGUUUGGUUAGAGACCUGGAGUGAAUUAAAAUGCCAAGGAAAGCCUCCCUUCACUCUUACCCCACCCUGCUUCUUCUACCAUCAACCUUGCUGUCUGCUCUACAGCGGCUGAAUUUAACAAGCGGAGGAGCGAAAUCUCCGGAACUAAAAUUGUAUACUGGAGCGACAGGACCCGCACGAAUGAGUUUUAUUAGUUUGAGGCUGACUCCAUUUCUCCCCACCCACUUUGUUGGCAACAACCUAGAAAACAAUUAAAGUGUGAUUUGGCGGCCUGAGUUCGUCACACUGUUACUCAGGAAGCAAAGGUCAAUCCUGAAGCUGGGGAUUUGCCUCAGCUGAAAGAACUGAAACGGGACAGGGAUCUUCCAAACUGGAUACUUCCAUCAUUUUCUUCUGAUUUCCCAUCCUGAAUCCAGAAUCAUAAACAUUCUUGAAGGACUUACCACUCAGCUCUGAAAAUGAUUGCAAUUGAAAUAAACAUACAUUCCACAUGGAACAGACAUUCCACAAGUAAUACACAUGCUUAUAUUUAAUUCAAAAUAGAAUAGUGGACAUUCUGUAAUUGGGGAUAGUUUGAUCGAGGUAUAUGGUUUAUUGAUCCAAUGGAAGGGUCUGAAAUUUCACAAAAAACAAACCAUUAGUAAAGCGAAGUAUGUGGGACUGAAGAGAUCUGAAGUUGCCCUCUGGCAGCCUACAGGAAGUUAAAGCAAGUUACACAGUUUCUCCUUUAUAGUAGUCUCUAAAGUCCUUGCCUCCAUUGUGCAGAAACAAUGUAACCGAAAGUGCUUUUCAGAUCAUAAAGUGCAAACCAACAUCAGCUGGUAUUAUUAUAGUUAGUGGAUUUGAGAAAAAGACUUUCCAAUAAUGGGCAUUCGUUGUUGUAACACUCGUACAACCUCCCUUUUUUUAGCUAGUGGAGCUGGGAAUGUGAGUUGCUUUCACUGAAGUAUGGAUAAUGACGAAUGGGAGGGCAAGGAAAUAGCUACCGGAUAAUUGGGAACUCACUGAUUUGUUAAUGAAUGAAUGCUUGAAUGUAUCAGUGUGCAAAUGACUGAAUGAAUAAAGUGAAGAUGCAGGGAGAUUCCAGUUCAGUUCAAUCAACAUUUACUGAUGUAGCUGACCCAAGACAAGUGUCAGUGUAGGGGAAGGAAACCUGAGCAGACCUUUGGUCCCUUGGCCUCACCUGCA